This 223-nucleotide long non-coding RNA is filed under the name Malus domestica (apple). Its description in RNAcentral is "long non-coding RNA (MDOM_LNC010853)". The record is from RNAcentral. Lineage: Eukaryota; Viridiplantae; Streptophyta; Magnoliopsida; Rosales; Rosaceae.
CAAUUUACACAAUCGAAACUCAACAUGGUGUUACCAGAUCUCGCUAUGUUAUGCUGAUUUCGGUACUAAAAACACAGAAACUCAAAUUCAAGGCUAGUGAAAACAAGCAAUGACUGUCUAAAGUACAAGAAUUCCAGUCAAUUCAAAUUACAAAAGCAACUAACACAAUAAUAUAAAACACUAGCCACUAGCACCCGCCUGCAAUGUUUAACCAAAACAACUA